CGGGCCAGCGAGUUCUGAUCUAUGGCGAGACUAAGCGUGUAAACGCGGAGUCGUAGGGAAACCAACAAGCCCGCAACUCUUUGAGUUAGGGGCGAGGUGCGCUCGCCUGGAGUCAUAGGUGGGAUACCCGAAGCCAGUUGAUCUAUGCGUGGGCAGGUCGAAGUCCCUCGAAAGGGGGAUGGAGGACCGAACCGGUAAUGAUGUGCAAAUCUUUCGGAUGACCUGCGUAUAGGGGUGAAAGGCCAAUCUAAACUGGAAAUAGCUGGUUCCUCCUGAAACUAGUCGCAGCUAGAUCUCAGCCGAGACAGAUCGUGGGGUAGAGCGACCGAUUGGGGGCUAAGGGCGGGAAACCGCUCGGCUCCCUGCCAAACUCCGAACCUGCGAUCGUCGUAGACGCUGGGAGUGAGGGCCUCUGGGGUAAACUUGGGGUCCAUAAGGGAAUCAACCCAGCCUAAGGUUAAGGUCCCAAAGUACCGGCUAAGUGUAAUAUGAAACGGAGUCCGUAGCCAGAGACAACCGGGAGGUGGGCUUAGAAGCAGCCAUCCUUCAAAGAAAGCGUAACAGCUCACCGGUCGAGGUUAUGGGCCCGGAAGAUGGACGGGGCUAAAGCCGGUCACCGAUACCUUAGAGCACCGCAAGGUGAUCUGGUAAGGAGGUGACGUGCAUGGGCAGAAGCUUGGGCGUGAGCUCAAGUGGACCGUGUUCGUAUAAGGAUGCUGGGAGGAGUAGCAGCAAAGAACGGUGAGAAUCCGUUCCGCCGCAGGGGCCAGGGUUCCUCGGCAAUGUUCGUCAGCCGAGGGUUAGCCGAUCCUAAGACAAACCUUAACCGAACUUGUCAAAAGGGAAGCAGGUUAAUAUUCCUGCGCCACCACAGCCCCUAUCUGAUCUUUAACGCAUCCGGAUAAGUCGAGCAGGGGUGUCAACCUGUUCAAGCGUGUAUAAGCCCGGGGAGAACCGUAAUGGUGAGAACCGAGUAAAAGCGCGAGUAGGCGGGCGAAGGCCCGCUUCGGUCGAUUUCGGGUCUCCAUGAAAAUGAGAUCAGUUAUAGCUGUUGUGUUCGUACCAAGAACUGACACAGGUGCCCCUAGGUGAGAAGCCUAAGGCGUGUCGGCGUAAUCCAAGCGAGGGAAUUCGGCAAAUUAGCCCCGUACCUUUGGUAGAAGGGGUGCCAGCCUUGAAGAAGGCUGGUCUCAGUGACUAGGGAGCUCCGACUGUUUAAUAAAAACAUAGGUCGCAGCUAGUCCGAAAGGAUGUGUAUUGCGGCUGAAGCCUGCCCAGUGACGGUAUCUGAAUUUCCGGUUCAACGGAACGAAGGACCGUUAAACGGCGGGGGUAACUAUGACCCUCUUAAGGUAGCGUAAUACCUUGUCGCUUAAUUGGCGACUUGCAUGAAGGCCCAACGAGAGCUCUACUGUCCCCGCUUGGAAGCCGGUGAAACUAAUAGUACUGGCGCACAAUCCAGUAUCUUCCACCUGAAAGCGAAGACCCCGUGGAGCUUUACUGCAACCUGUUGUUGUGGUACGAGCUUCGAUGUGUAGAGUAGGCAGGAGACGUUAUCAGGGCCGGCCGCUAGGUCGGUUCCGAGUCAACGAUGAAACACUGCCCUUCGGAACUCGUAUCACUUACUUCUUCGGAAGGACAGCUAUAGGUAGGCAGUUUGGGUGGGGCGCCACGCGCUCAAAAAGAUAACAAGCGCGCCCAAAGGUCAGCUCAAGUAGGUCAGAAAUCUACUGAAGAAUGCAAGGGUAAAAGCUGGCUUGACGCGGAUUGGGACAACAACAACCCGCGAUACGAAAGUAGGGCCUAGCGAACCACUCAGCCUUCUGAAUGGGGGCGAGUGAUAACAGAAAAGUUACCCCGGGGAUAACUGAGUCGUCGCUAGCAAGAGUUCAUAUCGACCUAGCGGUUUGCUACUUCGCUGUCGGCUCUCCCUAUCCUGGCGGUGCAGCAGCUGCCAAGGGUGGGGUUGUUCGCCCAUUAAAAGGGAUCGUGAGCUGGGUUUAGACCGUCGUGAGACAGGUUUGUUGCUUUUUGGUGGAAGUGCAUUGAUGCCUGACGAGAAGGAUCCUUUAGUACGAGAGGAACGGGGAUCCGUAGCCUCUAGUUCAUCAGUUGUCCGGCAGGGCAUUGCUGAGCAGCCACGCUAUAGUGGAUAAGAGCUGAAAGCAUCUAAGCUCGAAACCAUCUCGGAAAAGAGGCAUCUUACAACGCUUGUAACUGACGAGCUUGAUAGGACCGGGAUGUAAGCACCAAGGUUCGCCGAGGU
This 2266-nucleotide ribosomal RNA is filed under the name sediment metagenome. RNAcentral's name for it is "bacterial LSU rRNA". It matches the Rfam family "Archaeal large subunit ribosomal RNA", at positions 660 to 2947 of the family's 2987-position model. The record is from RNAcentral.